RNAcentral lists this long non-coding RNA (1828 nucleotides) under Coturnix japonica (Japanese quail). Its description in RNAcentral is "lncRNA (ENSCJPG00005003343.1)". Lineage: Eukaryota; Metazoa; Chordata; Aves; Galliformes; Phasianidae. The record is from RNAcentral.
AGCACUCUGACAGAAACACCAUUCUUAAUUCAGUACAAAUGGGAAACCUGAUGUUGGUAAAAAUUCAGGAGAAGAAUGAGAAAAUAAUAUAUAGAAAUAGGAAACUGUUUUUAGAAAAGCAUAUAUAGGGUAUUAUUAGAGAGAUUUGGGUAAGUCAGUUCAUAGCGUAGAAUCAUUAAGGUUGGAAAAGACUGCUAAGAUCAUCCAGUCUAACCAUCAGCCCAUCCCCAUCAUGACCACUAAGCAUGUCCCCACUAAUCUAAACUCUUCUUGAAUGCCUCCAGGAAUGAUGACUCUACCGCCUCCCUAGGCAGCCAUUUCCAAUACCUCCCACUCUAAGAAGGAUUUUUUCCUAAUAUCCAACCUCAGUCUAUCAACCAAAUCUCUGUGCGCCAAGGGGUACCUUUAAGGCAUGUUGUUUUCCUAUGCACUUCUUGCUCAGAAGCAUCACCCAAGACCUCAAGUUACUCCCAAAUAGACAACCUAUUGAUUUUCUACUUAUUCCCUCAGGUUUCGAAUUACUGAAAUUAAACUAAGCUAUUCCUGAUUUAUAGCAGUGUAAACAAGAGGAAUUCAGCCCUGCUGAAGAUGUCUGACCUGAAAAACAUUAUGCAUUUUUCCAAUGCAGCUGUCUGAGUCAUUUUCCUUAUACUGUGUAAUACCUUAUUGUACCAACAGGCAGGUUAAAACCAUCUUUGCAUUCAUAGUGGAAGGCUCUGCCAUUCUUGAGAUCUAUCACCACAGACCUUGGGCAAAGCUCUUUAGCUCUUACACAGUGAAGGAAAAUAAGGGAAGCAACAAGCUAUUAAAAUGGAUACUUGAUUCAUUUUAUUCAUUUAAAUGAUGUUAAUGUUAGCUUUUAAUGUAGACAGAGAAGUGUAGACAAGAAAGUACUGGAAAUUAGAUAGGAAUAGAUACACCAGCAAGUGGAAGCCUGGACUUUCUAUCCUUCUGUACCCAGAGCAGCCCUUCAAGUCCUUCAGGACUGAGACUUCAGGCUUUCAUUUGCCCACAGCUGUGAAUAUCGGAUUGGAAAAGUAAGAGUAAGGACCUGAAACUACUCACUCUGUGCCAGCGGCCUGGCUGUGUUUUUGAAAGCACAGGAAAGAAGAAGGCAGUGCACUGAAAUGCAGGUGUCUUGUCUCAUAACAAACAUAGACAUGAACACUCCAAGGAAAAUUUUCCAUUGCUGAGACAAACUUAAGGUGUUUUUAGGGUUUGGUCUGGGCACACGUACAAGACCUGAGGCUUCUGGGGCAGAUUUCCUAGCUGUGAUGGUGAGUGUGAGUUUUGAUCUUGGGAAAUCCAUGAGGGGAUUAUAUCCUUUUGCCUCUCCUCAUUGUUUCUGCUGAUGUACAGCACUGUUGUUGUUUUUAAGUCAGUAUUUGUUAUUAUUAUUGCAUUUGUUAUGGCUUACUUUACUAAUUUAUAAUACCUACUGCCUAGCAACAAGUGGCUUCAAUUUAAACAAUAUAUAUAAAUUUUAAAAAUCCACAUAAAUUAACAUCUCAUCUUCAACAUGUGCCGGUGUACAGCCACCACUAAUUUGUCAUUAGCUGGUAAUUAAAGCUAGAGGCAGAAUAAUAGUCUACCUAAAGACAGGCAGCAGUGAAAGCUGAAUGAACAACAUACAGUGGAGGAUCUCCUCUCCCCUUGCAAAGGGUAUCACAUUGAAUCUAGGAGACAGGAAGUCAGCUAUGGGAAGAGGAAUGUGCCUUUCUGGCUCAGGAACAGUGGUUUCAACUUCGUCCAGCUUAUCUAUGUUAAGAGGAUACCUUUCUCAGUCUGCGUGCUGAUAAAACAAAAUAAAGUUUCUUUGCACAUGUCA